CUGCGGAGGGAUCAUUAC
RNAcentral lists this ribosomal RNA (18 nucleotides) under Albifimbria verrucaria. Its description in RNAcentral is "partial 18S ribosomal RNA". Lineage: Eukaryota; Fungi; Ascomycota; Sordariomycetes; Hypocreales; Stachybotryaceae. The record is from RNAcentral.